Molecule: ribosomal RNA, 541 nt
Filed under: uncultured bacterium
Lineage: Bacteria
Description: bacterial SSU rRNA
Rfam family: Archaeal small subunit ribosomal RNA
Source: RNAcentral
AGUGAAUAGAUACCCGGGUAGUCCCAGCUGUAAACGAUGCGCGUUAGGUGUAUCGGUGACCACGAGUCACCGAGGUGCCGAAAGGGAAACCGUGAAACGUGCCGCCUGGGAAGUACGGUCGCAAGGCUGAAACUUAAAGGAAUUGGCGGGGGAGCACCACAACAGGUGGAGCCUGCGGUUUAAAUCGGACUCAACGCCGGGAAGCUCACCGGAUAAGACAGCUGAAUGAUAGCCGGGUUGAAGACUCUGCUUGACUAGCUGAGAGGAGGUGCAUGGCCGUCGUCAGUUCGUACUGUGAGGCAUCCUGUUAAGUCAGGCAACGAGCGAGACCCACGCCAACAGUUGCCAGCAUGUCCUCCGGGAUGGUGGGGACACUGUUGGGACCGCCUCUGCUAAAGAGGAGGAAGGAAUGGGCAACGGUAGGUCAGCAUGCCCCGAAUUAUCCGGGCUACACGCGGGCUACAAUGGUCAGGACAAUGGGUAUCAACACCGAAAGGUGAAGGCAAUCUCCUAAACCUGUCCUUAGUUCGGAUUGUGGGCU